Sapajus apella (tufted capuchin) is the source of this 2085-nucleotide long non-coding RNA. RefSeq lists it as uncharacterized. Lineage: Eukaryota; Metazoa; Chordata; Mammalia; Primates; Cebidae. The transcript is spliced from 3 exons. The record is from RefSeq and is a predicted model, not a curated record.
UUCUAGAAUCUUCUCCAAAUAUUCAAGAAUGUGAAAUAUAAAUAAGCACUGCCCUCUGCUUCUAUUUGUUUCCCUUUGCUUAUAUCUCUAAAUUCCCUGCAGUUUAUUAAAUUGACUUUGUUGACUCUGCUCAACAACCAUAAAACAAGAGAAUCCUCAGCAGGUUGGGCUUAAAACUCACCAUGUAUGCAGGCUUUCCAACCUCUUAUAAGGUCAGUGUGACUGCAGGAAUGUGAAGUCUCUUGUCACUUGGUGACCUUUGUUGUAUGCAUCAUAGCAGAUGAAAGCAGAGACAGUCCCCACCUCAUGACUGCAUCCCCAGAGCUUAGUGCUACACUAUGCACAUUGGUGCUCAAUAAAUGUGAAAUGAUAAAUGAGCAACCAGUCUCACAAUUUUCUGGAGAUUUUUUGAAAACAACAUUUUUUUAAAACUUAACCUUACAUAGAAUAUUUAAAAAGAUAAGAGCAGUAACUCAUUAGUGUAAAGUCAACCUCCAAGAAAAAUGGAGCUAUUGAUAAACAUGACAGGAAGUCAAAGAUGAGGGUUAUCAUCUUUUUAGAUUAGCCUUAACCUACUUGAAAUUGCAGUAAUUCGAAAGAGUGAUCCUGAAAUUCUGAAGGUUCCAUUGUAUGUGGUUUCAAAAACACUGUCAUAGAAUUAAGAGAGAAUGUGUUAUUGGCAUAAGAACUAUAAGAAUAGUUAGGAUCCAGCAGAUUGCAAUAGAAGUCUUUGCUACAAUUCUUUGUAAAUCUGAAAGCAAGGUUCCUGACCUAGCAAGGAAAUCAGCAGCUAAGCCUUUGAAACCACAGCAAUAUCUGACCAACCUAAAGCUUGUGUAAGUCUUCACAGCGUUGGUGCAGCUCUCUCAGGGUCAGGGACCAACCCUGGCAGGCUCCCUUGUGUGGGGGUGGAGCUUCCGUGAGCCUUCCAGUCCUGCUUCCUUGUCACGUUGACCUGUUUCAUCUAAUUGGGUUUUGGGUUUCCUCUUCUGUAAGAUGCAGGCAAAUUUCCUACUGUUCCAUGGGAACAUUGUCCGGAUGAAUUGGAACUUUGAAAAUGAAUAAAACGUCUUUAGAGGAUAUUUAACUCUUCAGCAGAAAGAUGUUAUAGAAAUGGAAGGUGUUAUUAUAAACUUUAAAAAAAAAAGUGUUACGUGAAAAUGCUGUUAGCAUUUUGAGACUGUGUCCCAUUUUGCGUCUUCUGUUUUGCUUUUGCUCCUGGAAUUUUUAGGACUGUCUUCGGGGUGUGUAGAUUGCAUUAGCACUGGGUGGGCUUUGUAACUGUGAGCCGUGCUGUCGGCCAGAGCAGACUGCUCUGCUGUUCCUGCUGUACUUCCCGAGUCUGCCCACACACUGACAUGCUGCAGAGGCUCCCUGACUGAGACAUAUGUUACAGCAGAAAAUACUUUUCCCCCAGGACUCCUAGAGGGUGUUGAAGAAUGCUUUCCUGAUUCCUGCUUCUUGAGAUAAAAGAACAUUUGGCAAAGAAAGUCUAAAUAGUUGCUUUGAAAAAAAUAAAGAAUUGAACUCAUAUUCAAAAACUAAGCCAGGUGCGAUGGCUCACACCUGUACCCCCAGCACUUUAAGAGGCCAAGAUGGAUGGAUCAUUUCAGGCUAGUUCAAGACCAGCCUGGUCAACAUACUGAGACCCCAUCUCAUUUGUUUUAAAAAAACAAAAAACAUCCAAAGGAUCCGUGACAUGCCUAUUCCUAAAUCAUCUUCUGUGAUAAUCCUUAAGCAGGUUUACCCUGUGUCUUAGUCUUCUUGGACUACUAUAACAAAAUGCCAGACUGGAUGGCUUACAUACAACAGAAAUUUUUUUCUCAUGGUUCUGAAGGCUUCAAAGUCCAAGAUCAAGGUGCCUAAAUAUUCAGUGUCUGUAAGGCCCUGCUUUUCUGGUUCGUGGACCUCACCCUCCCACUAGAAGGAGCAAAGCAGCUCUCUGGAGCCUCUGUUAUAAGGGCACUAAUACUCAUGAGGUCCCCACCCCUAUGGCCUAAUCGUCUCCCAGAGGCUUCACCUCCUGAUACCUUCACCUUAUUUCUUAGCUCAUCUUCUUGCUGUGAAAAAUUUAAAAAAAAAAAA